AAUAAAGUGCCUGAUAAAAGGAUUAUUUUGAUAGAAUAAAUUAUAUAAUUAUAAAAAUUAUCUUUAUUA
RNAcentral lists this transfer RNA (69 nucleotides) under Gonatocerus sp. ZCS-2018. RNAcentral describes it as "tRNA-Ile". The record is from RNAcentral. Lineage: Eukaryota; Metazoa; Arthropoda; Insecta; Hymenoptera; Mymaridae.